Molecule: non-coding RNA, 29 nt
Filed under: Rattus norvegicus (Norway rat)
Lineage: Eukaryota; Metazoa; Chordata; Mammalia; Rodentia; Muridae
Source: RNAcentral
UGACCACUGAGCUAUUUGCCAGUCUGGUU